GACGAACGCUGGCGGCGUGCCUAAUACAUGCAAGUAGAACGCACAGUUUAUACCGUAGCUUGCUACACCAUAGACUGUGAGUUGCGAACAGGUGAGUAACGCGUAGGUAACCUGCCUGGUAGCGGGGGAUAACUAUUGGAAACGAUAGCUAAUACCGCAUAAUAUUAAUUAUUGCAUGAUAAUUAAUUGAAAGGUGCAAUUGCACCACUACCAGAUGGACCUGCGUUGUAUUAGCUAGUAGGUGAGGUAACGGCUCACCUAGGCGACGAUACAUAGCCGACCUGAGAGGGUGAUCAGCCACACUGGGACUGAGACACGGCCCAGACUCCUACGGGAGGCAGCAGUAGGGAAUCUUCGGCAAUGGACGAAAGUCUGACCGAGCAACGCCGCGUGAGUGAAGAAGGUUUUCGGAUCGUAAAGCUCUGUUGUAAGAGAAGAACGGGUGUGAGAGUGGAAAGUUCACACUGUGACGGUAUCUUACCAGAAAGGGACGGCUAACUACGUG
This 505-nucleotide ribosomal RNA is filed under the name uncultured bacterium. Its description in RNAcentral is "partial 16S ribosomal RNA". It matches the Rfam family "Bacterial small subunit ribosomal RNA", at positions 28 to 507 of the family's 1533-position model. The record is from RNAcentral.